GCAAGCUACUGCUCACUUAUGAUACCCCCGCCGCAAGUGGAUAAUAUUAAUAGUGUAAAAAUAUGCAAGUGUUCGGUAAACAGGAAGUUGUCGAGUGAUGAAUCUGAAAACACAUCACACGGUAUAGCUGACUUAUAUAAAUCCUGAAACCAAAUUUCAGAAAUCCUUGUAUUGUAGUUCCUGAGAAAAAUGUGACGAAAAUUUUCAACUUGGCUAUCAUGUGUAAAAUCAUACAAGUGUUCGGUAAACAGGAAGUUGUCAAGUGAUCAAUCUGAAAACGCAUCACACGGUAUAGCUGACU
RNAcentral lists this long non-coding RNA (301 nucleotides) under Mytilus galloprovincialis (Mediterranean mussel). The record is from RNAcentral. Lineage: Eukaryota; Metazoa; Mollusca; Bivalvia; Mytilida; Mytilidae.